Molecule: ribosomal RNA, 770 nt
Filed under: uncultured bacterium
Lineage: Bacteria
Description: bacterial SSU rRNA
Rfam family: Bacterial small subunit ribosomal RNA
Source: RNAcentral
ACUUCGGUCUGGUGGCGAGUGGCGAACGGGUGAGUAAUGUAUCGGAACGUACCUUUCAGUGGGGGAUAACGUAGCGAAAGUUACGCCAAUACCGCAUAUUCUGUGAGCAGGAAAGCAGGGGAUCGCAAGACCUUGCGCUGAUUGAGCGGCCGAUAUCAGAUUAGCUAGUUGGUGAGGUAAAGGCUCACCAAGGCGACGAUCUGUAGCGGGUCUGAGAGGAUGAUCCGCCACACUGGAACUGAGACACGGCCCAGACUCCUACGGGAGGCAGCAGUGGGGAAUUUUGGACAAUGGGGGCAACCCUGAUCCAGCCAUGCCGCGUGAGUGAAGAAGGCCUUCGGGUUGUAAAGCUCUUUCGGCCGGGAAGAAAUCGCAUGGGCUAAUACCCUGUGCGGAUGACGGUACCGGCAUAAGAAGCACCGGCUAACUACGUGCCAGCAGCCGCGGUAAUACGUAGGGUGCGAGCGUUAAUCGGAAUUACUGGGCGUAAAGCGUGCGCAGGCGGUUUUUUAAGACAGGCGUGAAAUCCCCGGGCUCAACCUGGGAACUGCGCUUGUGACUGGAAGGCUAGAGUAUGGCAGAGGGGGGUGGAAUUCCACGUGUAGCAGUGAAAUGCGUAGAGAUGUGGAGGAACACCAAUGGCGAAGGCAGCCCCCUGGGCCAAUACUGACGCUCAUGCACGAAAGCGUGGGUAGCGAACAGGAUUAGAUACCCUGGUAGUCCACGCCCUAAACGAUGUCAACUAGGUGUUGGGUGGGUAAAACCAUUUA